RNAcentral lists this ribosomal RNA (497 nucleotides) under uncultured bacterium. RNAcentral describes it as "partial 16S ribosomal RNA". It matches the Rfam family "Bacterial small subunit ribosomal RNA", at positions 28 to 507 of the family's 1533-position model. The record is from RNAcentral.
GAUGAACGCUGGCGGCGUGCCUAAUACAUGCAAGUCGAGCGAACGGACGAGAAGCUUGCUUCUCUGAUGUUAGCGGCGGACGGGUGAGUAACACGUGGAUAACCUACCUAUAAGACUGGGAUAACUUCGGGAAACCGGAGCUAAUACCGGAUGAUAUUUUGAACCGCAUGGUUCAAAAGUGAAAGACGGUCUUGCUGUCACUUAUAGAUGGAUCCGCGCUGCAUUAGCUAGUUGGUAAGGUAACGGCUUACCAAGGCAACGAUGCAUAGCCGACCUGAGAGGGUGAUCGGCCACACUGGAACUGAGACACGGUCCAGACUCCUACGGGAGGCAGCAGUAGGGAAUCUUCCGCAAUGGGCGAAAGCCUGACAGAGCAACGCCGCGUGAGUGAUGAAGGUUUUCGGAUCGUAAAACUCUGUUAUUAGGGAAGAACAUAUGUGUAAGUAACUGUGCACAUCUUGACGGUACCUAAUCAGAAAGCCACGGCUAACUACGUG